AUCUCUCUGAAGAACUCAGCAUUGACGGCUUCAGCAACGCUGUGCCACUCCGUGAAUUUUCUCUUAUUUGUUUUGCAAAAGCACUUCCUUUGAUUUCUCCACCUCACCCACAGGUACCUCAAUUUCUGCUUGUGAAAUUGCGCUUCCUUGAUCUACCUUGGUCUACGGUCGCCAUGUCACUGGCGGAGCGCUGCAACAGCCGGCUUAUGUAUAUGCAUGAGAUCCACAAGGCAUUUUGCAUUGACUAUUUAUGGCAGUAAGUGGGCGUGGUGAGGGCGGGAUGUGACUAAAAAGCAGCUGAGAAACAUUCUAGAUAGUCUCCGAUUUAUGAAGCAGACAUUGCGUGCAGCUGUGCGUACUCCAUGUUUGAUAGAUCACAAACCUACUUGCUCGAGUUCUGAUCAGGUGGGCCAUUCCUCCCAAUCACACCCCUCCAGGUCAAGCUGUCAUUGCCCACGUGAGCAUUGAAGUCCCCCAGCAGGACAAUGGAGUCCCCUGAUGGAGCACUAUCUAGCACUCGUCCCAGGGACUCCAAAAAGGGUGGGUACUCUGAACUGAUAUUUGGCCCAUAAGCACAAACAACAGUCAGGACCCGUUCCCCGACCCGAAGGCGCAAGGAAGCUACCCUCUUGUCCCCCGGGGUAAACCCCAACACACAGGCAGAGAGUCUCGGGGCUAACAAAAAGCCAACCCCAGCCCUCCGCCUCUCACCCGGAGCAACUCCAGCAAAGUAGAGUGUCCAACCCCUCUCCAGGUCUCGGGUUCCAGAGCCAAUGCAAUGUGUCGAGGUGAGUCCGACUAUAUCUAGCCGGUACCGCUCAACCUCUGCCACAAGCUCCGGCUCCUUCCCCGCCAGCGAGGUGACGUUCCAUGUCCCAAAAACUAGUUUUCUUGUCCGGGGAUUGGACCGCCAAGGCUCCCGCCUUGGUCUGCCACCCGAUUCACAUUGCACCGGACCCUUCACGUUCCUCCUGCGGGUGGUGGGUCCACAGUUGGACGAGCCCAUGUAUCCGGUUCGGGCUGGGCCCAGCCGGGCCCCAUGGGCGAAAGCCCGGCCACCAGGCGCUCGCUCACGGGCCCCAACCCCAGGCCUGGCUCCAGUGUGGGACCCCGGUAACCCUCCGGGCCGGGUACUCCGACUCUUCGUUUUAACCGCCAUGAAAGAUCCUUCGAACCGUUCUUUGUCUCACCCUUCACCUAAGACCAAUUUGUCAUGGGAGACCCUACCAGGGGCACUAAGUGCCCCAGACAACAUAGCUCCUAGGAUCAUUAGGGCACUCAAACUCCUCCACCACGAUAAGGUGACGGUUCAAGGAGGAGCUGGUGUUUUGUUAUUGGACUUCUGUGCAAGCCGCAGUUUGGCCAUAACGAACACCAUGUUCGAACAUAAGGAUGCCCACCGGUACACUUGGUACCAGGGCAGCCUAGGUCACAGGUCGAUGAUAGAUUUUGUAGUCGUAUCAUCUGACCUGCGGCCGUAUGUUUUGGACACCCGAGUGAAGAGAGGGGCGGAGCUGUCAACUGAUCACCACCUGGUGGUGAGUUGGAUCAGAUGGCAAGGGAACAUGCCGCGUAGACCUGGCAGACCCAAACGCAUAGUGAGGGUCUGCUGGGAACGCCUGGCAGAAGAACCUGUCAAGACGGUCUUCAACUCCCACCUCCGGCAGAGCUUUGACCACGUCCCGAGAGCAGUGGGGGACAUUGAGUCCGAGUGGGCCUUGUUCCACUCUGCGAUUGUCGAGGCGGCUGUUGCUAGCUGUGGUCGUAAGGUGGCCGGUGCCAGUCGUGGUGGCAACCCCCGUACCCGCUGGUGGACACCAGAGGUUCGGGGAGCCGUCAGGCUGAAGAAGGAGGCCUACAGGGCGUGGCUGGUCUGUGGGUCUCCGGAGGCAGCAGACAGGUACCGGAUAGCCAAGCGGGGUGCAGCAGUGGCAGUUGCCGAGGCAAAAUCUCGGGCGUGGGAGGAGUUUGGUGAGGCCAUGGAGAAAGACUAUCGAUCGGCUCCAAAGAGGUUCUGGCAAACUGUCCGGCGCCUCAGGAGAGGAAGGCAGCAACUCGCUCACACUGUUUACAGUGGGGAUGGGGAGCUGCUGACGUCAACUGAGGCUAUAGUCGGACGGUGGAAGGAAUACUUUGAGGAGCUCCUCAAUCCCACCAAUGCGCAUUCCGAGGAGGAACCAGAGCUGGGAGGCCUGGGGAGGGACUGUCCGAUCUCGGGGGCAGAAGUUGCUGAGGUAGUCAAACAAUUACACAGCGGCGGAGCCCCGGGGGCGGAUGAGGUUCGUCCUGGGUAUCUCAAGGCUAUGGAUGUUGUAGGGCUGUCAUGGUUGACACGUCUCUACAACAUUGCGUGGUCAUCGGGGGCAGUUCCUAGGGAGUGGCAGACCGGGGUGGUGGUCCCCAUCUUUAAGAAGGGUGACCUGAGGGUGUGUUCCAACUAUAGGGGGAUCACACUCCUCAGCCUCCCUGGAAAGGUCUACUCCAAGGUACUGGAGAGGAGGGUCCGAUCGAUAGUUGAAUCUAAGAUAGAGGAGGAGCAAUGUGGUUUUCGUCCUGGCCGUGGAACUGUGGACCAGCUCUAUACCCUUGCAAGGGUGAUGGAGGGGGCAUGGGAGUUUGCCCAACCAAUCCACAUGUGCUUUGUGGAUUUGGAGAAGGCUUAUGACCUUGUCCCCAGGGGCAUCCUGUGGGGGACGCUCCAGGAGUAUGGGGUGGGUGGCUUUCUGUUAAGGGCCAUUCAGUCCCUUUACCAGAGGAGCGUGAGUUUGGUCCGCAUAGCCGGUAGUAAGUCGGACCUGUUCCCAGUGAGGGUUGGACUCCGCCAGGGCUGCCCUUUGUCACCGGUUCUGUUCAUCACUUUUAUGGACAGAAUUUCUAGACGCAGCCGUGGUGUGGAGUGUGUCGAGUUUGGUGGUAGGAGAAUCUCGUCUCUGCUUUUUGCAGAUGAUGUGGUCCUCCUAGCUUCAUCCAGCUCUGACCUUCAGCUCUUGCUGGGUAGGUUUGCGGCCGAAUGUGAAGCGGCUGGGAUGAGGAUCAGCACCUCCAAAUCUGAGACCAUGGUUCUCGACCGGAAAAGGGUGGCUUGCCACCUCCGGGUCGGGGGAGAGGUCCUACCUCAAGUGGAGGAGUUUAAGUAUCUCGGGAUCUUGUUCACGAGUGAGGGUAGGAGGGAUCGGGAGAUCGACAGGCGGAUUGGUUCGGCGUCUGCAGUGAUGCGGACGCUGAGCCGAUCUGUCGUGGGGAAGAGGGAGCUAAGCCAGAAAGCCAGGCUCUCGAUUUACCGGUCGAUCUACGUCCCAAUCCUCACCUAUGGUCAUGAGCUUUGGGUAAUGACCGAAAGAACGAGAUCGCGGAUACAAGCGGCCGAAAUGAGUUUCCUACGUAGGGUGGCCGGGCUCAGCCUUAGAGAUAGGGUGAGGAGCUCGGACAUUCGGGAGGGACUCGGAGUAGAACCGCUGCUCCUCCGGAUCGAAAGGAGCCAGUUGAGGUGGUUUGGGCAUCUGGUCAGGAUGCCUCCUGGACGCCUCCCCGGGGAGGUGUUUCGGGCAUGUCCUGCCGGCAGAAGGCCCCCGGGUCGACCCAGGACACGUUGGAGAGGUUACAUCUCCAAUCUGGUCCGGGAACGCCUUGGGGUCCUGCCGGAGGAGCUGGUGGAAGAGGCCAGGGAGAGGACGGCCUGGAGCUCCCUAGUUGGGAUGCUGCCCCCGCGACCCGGACCCGGAUAAGCGGAGGAAGACGAGACGAGAGACGAGACAAACCUACUUGGCAGCUACGUUUUGGGCAGUAGAGAGAGAUUUGGUGGACAUGAUUCAUACAACUGAGAGUGAUGCUGAGAGUGGACAAGCAGACGAGUAGCAACACCUGGUUUCCUAACGUGUUACAGAGGAGACCUCAGCAGUACCAAUGCUGGCCUGGACUUAUGUAGUUGUAGUUACUACUGCCCCUUCCUGACGAGCACAAACACCCGACGAUGGACAGAAGCAGGCCUGCAGAGCGAGUCCAUCUCAGAGGACUUUUGCCUCAGCAGAAGAGAGGUGGAUUCAUCCAACGGCUCAGAAGGUUUUAGUGAUCCUGUAAAACAGCUGGCAGGGCCUGCAGCAUCUCAAACUAAUCCAAACUGUAAUGGAAAAACCUUCCAAGUGAAGCUCCUUUGCAGUCUUUAAAUAAAAACAUGCUCAUCUUUCUAGAUAUGAAGUGUUUAUCACACUGCUGUGUCACUUUGUGUUCAGUAGCAGUUAGACACAGUUAUGGGUUAUCUAUUUGGUGAUUUAUUUAUGUAAUCUAGUAAGAGAAAUGUGUGAGUGGUUAACUUUCUGAACAGCUCAGGUUGAUGCUGAGCAUCUCCCUUAGAAUGUUUAAUGUAGAAAAACAGUUUCUUGUUUGAAAUGUUUCAAGUCUCCUUUUUGAAAAGCGAGUGACUUAACUGUAUCGUGUCUGUACAAGAACAAUGGCUCUGUCGGCUCGUGGUUUCACUCGUCUCUUCAGCCAGAGAGUUAAUGAGGAUCAGGGAGGAGCUUUCAAGUCAAACACAAACCCCAAAUUUUUGCUGUUGAGCCUGUAAACCAAAAAACUAACAAAGACCCAUACCGUUAUUUAUAGAGUUAAUAUCUUAUAUUUCCAUUCAUCUGAGGUUGCUAGUAAAGCAGCUCCAUUAGCAAUAUAAUGCAAUCGAUUGCCCAUAAGCUCCUUUAUAAGGAACUCUGUAUCUCGCAUUAGUAACAGAUAAUUGUAAUAAAAUUUGCCAUAACAGAAAAUGUUGAAUAAAAGAGGAGAAAUCCAUUGAAACCCCAUUACCUGUCAGCAAUAAUGUACAGUAGUUAAAUCAGGGGGAGGAUAGAAGGUCCUUACUGACAAAUCACAGAGGAGCAUUUCUGAACUGAGUGAAAUAGUCUAAUAGUUCUGAACAACAAAUUCCUAAAAAAUAUCUCCAAAAAUGCCUCUCUGCUUUCCCCCAAUAACUGAAUCAAAGCUGACCCAUCAUGGUCUUAGAGGGCCUCUAUCCUGCAUGUUUCAGAUGUUUCUCUGCUCUAACUCGACUGAUCUGACUGACUUCUACAUAAUUAAUGCUGAAAAGAUUAAUCAUCAAUUAAAUCAGGUGUGUUGGAGAAAAACAGCAAGAACAUGCAGGAUGGUGGCUUUGAAGCACCAGGUUAAACCCCACCUACAGGCCAAGGACGCUCCAACAUUACUUUCUGUCUUUUAUUGUCUGGUAUUUCUAGAGAAAAGAGAGAACAUGAUCCAAAUGGUUGAAUUUGUCAAGUUUAAGAAUCAGUAUAAUGUUGGUGUUUUCACUUGAACAGUAGCUAAAUGACUUUUAAAAUAUUCAAAUAAAGUCAGCAGCAUUUUACUUUUAUUUGUUCGACUGAUUAGUAAAUUUUCUUAACUGUGACCAAAAAAAGAACAGUUUAUCAUUUUUGAUUAUACUUUUUUGACCCCAAUGCAAAAUACUUACAGCUGCUGUAACAGAUCUACAGAACAAGCUAGGUUCUGAACCCAAACGCAGUCACAGAACAGUGAUCCAAUAUCGCUGAGCUGAACCUCUCACGCCAGUGGCGUUUUGUUGCUAAAUACGCAAAUGCAUGAUGAAUGGAGGACCCAGGGAAGUACGCCGGUCCGGCAAGACCGGCGUACUUCAUGAUCCAGUAUUUGCUUUGAGUCCUAACGUGUUGUUGGUGGAGGUUUUUAGACAAAUGGGAGAGAACCACUUUGUUAAUUUGUUUCUAGUAUCUACAGCAUAUUUAUAGCUAUGCUAUAUUAGAACGUUGAAAAAAAAUUAUAAGUUGUUUUCCAAAUUUGCCAUUGCAGCUUUACUUCUUUUAAUUUGUUUUUAACUAACAGAUGCAAGACAGGCUCACUAUUUUAUCGAUAGCUUAAAAGCUUGACAUAACGUUUUCUGGACAUGCUGUAUGUCUCUUCACCCAGACAACACCAGGUUAGCUACUUCAGAAUUAGCUGCUAGCUUCUUGGCAUCCACAAACCAUGUGCUCUUUGCUCAGAUUUGGCUUACAGUAAUCUGGUUCCACACAAAUAAGAGCAAACAGAUGUGAAACAAGCAGAGGAUUUGAGUUUUCCUUCACAUCCCAUCUAUAAGCUCUAAAAGUGGACCCUAACAGAACCUAACAGCGUCAUUGGGUGUCAUUAUCUGGAAUAAUAUUCAAAUUUUCCGAGUUGUUAGAGCAACCUAAUUCCCAUUUCAAUAGCUGAAGUUUAAUUGCACGGUUGCCCUGGCAGACUUGUGCCGUCACUUCUCGGGGCAAAGAGACAGGAUGUGUCCAAGUGAAAUAAUUGGCCUGGAGCUCAGAAGAGCUCUAAAUUACUCUCACUUGGUCUCCCUGUUCCCUGGAGUGUGAACAGUGGCAGCAAACAGGGAGGAGAGAUUUUUACCAGAUGCAGCAGGACAUGGGACAUUUAAUUAGUCCCCAAUUUUGGAUAAAUGGGAGAAAGUGUGAUGUGGUUGUGAGAACGUCGGUUUUCAGGGCUCCAUUCAACACAUUUGAUCGUAAUAAAGACAACUAGGUCUUUUCUCUUCACCAGUUACAUAAUCCAUUAGUCUUACCCAGGGAAUUUAAAACAAACAACUUUAUUUGUCUCUGACAAGAAGUAGCAGGGUAUUAAAUAGACUUCCUCAAAAAACAAACAAGGAAUCUUCCCUUGUUUUAAUGUAACAGCUGUUACAGAUGUUUUUGUGAUGUUUUCUGUUUUGUUGGAAAUAGUCUUAACUCUGGCCUGAUGUGAUGUGGUCCUGUAAAUCAUAUCAGCUCAAGCCUUGUCAAUCACACACACACACACACACACAGAGAGAGAAAGAGAGAGAGAGAGAGAGAGAGAGAGAGAGAGAGAGAGAGAGAGAGAGAGAGAGAGAGAGAGACAGACAGAAGAAACAAUAAAAUGUUCAUGGUGGGAAAAGGAAGCACACAUCUGUUUCAUUCUCUCCAGGUUGUCAUGGUAACAGUUGCCUUAAAGUUGAAUACCCACCUGUACACAGAAGCUUUGUAGUGGUGGAUACCUCACUUUUUUUGGGUGUGGUGGUGAAGAUGGUGAUGUACACCACGUUCUGUCUAUGUACUUCCUACUAGAUAGAAUGUAACCUUUUUGAGUUAGAAUGUUAUUGCACUUGUUGACUUUGUAUUGUCACAAAAGGAGAAAUAAAGUUUUAUCUUUUCCAGUGUGUUUAAA
Non-coding RNA from Nothobranchius furzeri (turquoise killifish), 7176 nucleotides. The record is from RefSeq and is a predicted model, not a curated record. NCBI's taxonomy places the organism in Eukaryota, Metazoa, Chordata, Actinopteri, Cyprinodontiformes, Nothobranchiidae.